UUCCUUCAGUGGCUUGGCAUUCGAGGGCAUCAGUCUGACUCAGACUGGAGAGCAGUCAAGGUACUCUUUUCUGCUUCCUAGAAAACCCAAGGAUGACCCUGGUUUGGUAAUGGAGGAACAACCAUGUGCACUACCUUCUUGGUCAUCUCCACCUUGGUAUUUCUACUGCGUCGACACUUCUUCAACAAAGUUGAACCAGAAACAACAGAGGAAAGCAAACAAGAGGUUGGAUCAGAUUCCUCCACAAGGGAAACCAGAACUUGAGCCCUGGCUUGCAUGUGACAGUGUGUUCAGAAGUGAAUGAAAAAGCAAUGAUUAAUGCUUGACAUCAUAGUGACAUUGACAGAUGGAAAAUUCACAGCCUUUAAAAAAUUCAUAUCCUGGUUCACUAGAUCACCUUCCUGUUCAGGUCAAAAGCACUGCUGAUGCCAAAGCCUUAGUUUGCCUAAAGAACGAUUGAACUUCAUACUACUUACAGGAGCCAUCCAGAAAAAAAAAUAAUGAGGAGAAGGAAGGCAGCUAGUUGUGUUUUAAUAAUAACUCCUUAUGUGGAAGACCACCUUUCCCAACAUGGCCUUGGAAAGCAGAAGUGAGGUCAGGGCGCACUCAAGGUGCCAAAAACCUCUUUGCAGUUUUGAAAAGGCAAAGAGGAGAGGAGAUGGCAAGCAGCCGGGCAGAGGUCACCUCCAAGAUAUCAAUCAGAAACUGCCUGAAAGCCAGUGCGUCCGCAAAGGAGUGAGACGAGGCACCCUGGAAGAGGAAUUUUCCAUCGAGUGCAUUCAGGGAGCAACAUGCUGUGUGGGUUUAAUUUUCUUACAAAGAUGUUAAUACUAAAUAAAUAAAUGUUAGUCCUAUGAGCCCA
This is a long non-coding RNA of Anolis sagrei ordinatus, 862 nucleotides long. RefSeq lists it as uncharacterized. The record is from RefSeq and is a predicted model, not a curated record. Lineage: Eukaryota; Metazoa; Chordata; Lepidosauria; Squamata; Anolidae.